RNAcentral lists this non-coding RNA (268 nucleotides) under Homo sapiens (human). Lineage: Eukaryota; Metazoa; Chordata; Mammalia; Primates; Hominidae. The record is from RNAcentral.
CUUAGAGUACAUGGCCCUGUGGGUGUCAGCUGUCAGCCUCGCCCAUGGAGCCUCUGCAGGGCGGUCAGGGCAGGCACGUAGACAGGAGCAGGUACUACAGUAUAUAAAGCGUGCCGUACAAGGGAAGAGAUCACAGAACUGAUGCGGUGUUAUUUCAAUUGAUUUUGGUGUUGCAUUUAUACCUGCACAUGCUGAAAAUCAAUCGACCCUCUGUACCCUCGCCAUUCCUGCUGCAGCGCUGUUCGAAUGAAAUGCUUAUAUCAUUUUU